RNAcentral lists this ribosomal RNA (253 nucleotides) under uncultured Gemmata sp. Its description in RNAcentral is "partial 16S ribosomal RNA". It matches the Rfam family "Bacterial small subunit ribosomal RNA", at positions 524 to 776 of the family's 1533-position model. The record is from RNAcentral. Lineage: Bacteria; Pseudomonadati; Planctomycetota; Planctomycetia; Gemmatales; Gemmataceae.
GACGAACCGUGCAAACGUUGUUCGGAAUCACUGGGCUUAAAGGGCGCGUAGGCGGGUUCCCAAGUCAGGGGUGAAAUCUUUCGGCUUAACCGGAAAAGUGCCCCUGAUACUGGGAGUCUUGAGGGAGGUAGGGGUCUGUGGAACUCUCGGUGGAGCGGUGAAAUGCGUAGAUAUCGGGAGGAACGCCGGUGGCGAAAGCGACGGACUGGACCUUCUCUGACGCUGAGGCGCGAAAGCUAGGGGAGCAAACGGG